Molecule: ribosomal RNA, 897 nt
Filed under: Triticum aestivum (bread wheat)
Lineage: Eukaryota; Viridiplantae; Streptophyta; Magnoliopsida; Poales; Poaceae
Description: partial small subunit ribosomal RNA
Source: RNAcentral
AUGUCGGCGGCGUCCUCCCCUCCUCCGGCCGACGCGGCGGCCGCGGGGGCGGAGACGGAGGCCGCGCCCGUCGUCUUCUACUGCUACGAGUGCCAGGCCACCGUCUCCCUCCCUGCGCCGGCCGCCACGCCCUCGCGGCUACUGCUCUGCCCCCGUUGCCGCAGCGACUUCCUCGAGGAGAACCCUAAUCCGUCGACCUCGUCCCCUCCACCGCCGCCGCCCCCGCCGUCGGGAUUCCUCUCCGACUCCUCGGAGGAGCCCGACGACAUCGACCUCGGGAUCGAUCACACCGCUGCCCAGGCCUACCUCACCCGCCUCGUUCGCCGCCUCUACGACGAUCCCACCUCCGUGGCCACCGCCGCGGCCGCGGCGGUGUCCGUGCUGCAGCAGCAGGGGCACAUCGGUGGGCAGGGCCAGCCCCCGGCGCCCGCGGCGUCCAUCGCCGCCGUGCCGACGGUGGAGGUGUCCGAGCCCGCCUCGGUCUGCGCCAUCUGCAAGGACGACCUCCCUCUCGCCGUCGCCGCGCGGAGGCUCCCCUGCGGUCACCUCUAUCACUCCGUUUGCAUCGUGCAGUGGCUGGAGAUGCACAAUUCCUGCCCUGUCUGCCGCUCUUGCCUCCCGCCCACUAUCCUCGAGGAGGUGGAGCCCCAGGAACUGGAUCGGCCACCAACACAGAUCACUAUCAGGUUUACCACCAACCGCCGCCGCAUCCGCACAAACAGUGAUGCAGUGGCUCCGGUCGCGACAUCGCCUACUCAGCUCGCAGAGGCGAUGACAGGGGAAGGAGGUACUGGACCUGCGAAUAGCGCAGAAACUGUAUCGUCUGAAUGGCCACCGCCCCCAGAAUCUGAUGCCGUCGUGUCAGAGACCCGUGAGAUUGAGGGCUUCUUUGAUUGA